This is a long non-coding RNA of Pieris napi, 456 nucleotides long. RefSeq lists it as uncharacterized. The record is from RefSeq and is a predicted model, not a curated record. NCBI's taxonomy places the organism in Eukaryota, Metazoa, Arthropoda, Insecta, Lepidoptera, Pieridae. The transcript has 2 exons.
AUUUACGGUCUUACUAAUAAAAAAUCACUAUACAUGCGUUAUGACAAGGUGAUAGUAAUUCAGUGAAUAGAGCUUGUACAGGGCAUAAACACCUCUUUGACCAAUAAUCGAUGUGUAUUGGUUGAAUAACAAAACGACCCUUAUUUAUUGUUACCCUGGCAACCCGCCGUGUUUGAUUGACGUUUGAUUUAAUAAUUUUGAUACAACUCAUAAUUCUAAUGUAAGUUGUAUUUAUUUUAUCAACCAAAGCAAUUAUAUACACAUUUACUCAAUAUAUUAAUAACAUUUUAUUAUUUGCAGCUAAUAGAAACUCCAAAACCUCAGACAAAGAGGACUAGAAUUUUACAUAAAAAGCCGCGUUCUGCAGUACAAAAGUUAGAAGAGCAUCUCAAAUAGUGGAAAGUGCCAAACUCCGCAACACGGUAGUGUUCCAGUGUUUCCAGGAAGAGCACGAAA